Solea senegalensis (Senegalese sole) is the source of this 280-nucleotide non-coding RNA. Lineage: Eukaryota; Metazoa; Chordata; Actinopteri; Pleuronectiformes; Soleidae. The record is from RefSeq and is a predicted model, not a curated record.
UCUUUGCAGCCUUGUGAGACUGCCCCUCGCACAAACUAUUGCCUGUGGGUACAGCAAGGCUGCGGAAAGCAACCCAAAGAAUGAAAAGGCGUGACUUCUGGAGCAACAGGAGCUUCACGUGCGAUGUUCUUUGGACAGGAUCCUGCUUUCCACGGAGGUGGUGCCCCAUUUUCCGUGGCUAUCACCUUUCUUGAGGCAGGUAGAGAAAAAAACCUUGCAGCUGGAUAUUGUUUGCAGCAGGAGAAGCUCUUCCUGCCGGGCACUAUCAGCUGUCACAGUA